UUAAUUGAAGCCAAAAAGAGGCUUAUCACUGUUAAUGAUAAAAUUGAGUUAAACUCCAGUUAAG
RNAcentral lists this transfer RNA (64 nucleotides) under Philophylla fossata. RNAcentral describes it as "tRNA-Asn". The record is from RNAcentral. Lineage: Eukaryota; Metazoa; Arthropoda; Insecta; Diptera; Tephritidae.